AUCCAGCCCCCGCUACCAAGAAUUUUUGAAAGCCCCUUUUUAGGGGCUUUUUACUAGCUAAAAAAAUAAAAAAUGGGCUUAGUGCCCAUUUUUU
Non-coding RNA from Piscirickettsia sp., 94 nucleotides. The record is from Rfam. NCBI's taxonomy places the organism in Bacteria, Pseudomonadati, Pseudomonadota, Gammaproteobacteria, Thiotrichales, Piscirickettsiaceae.